AGAGGGGGACAACAGUUGGAAACGACUGCUAAUACCGCAUAAGCCCACGACCCGGCAUCGGGUUGAGGGAAAAGGAGCAAUCCGCUUUGAGAUGGCCUCGCGUCCGAUUAGCUAGUUGGUGAGGUAACGGCCCACCAAGGCAACGAUCGGUAGCCGGACUGAGAGGUUGAACGGCCACAUUGGGACUGAGACACGGCCCAGACUCCUACGGGAGGCAGCAGUGGGGAAUAUUGCACAAUGGGGGAAACCCUGAUGCAGCGACGCCGCGUGGAGGAAGAAGGUCUUCGGAUUGUAAACUCCUGUUGUUGAGGAAGAUAAUGACGGUACUCAACAAGGAAGUGACGGCUAACUACGUGCCAGCAGCCGCGGUAAAACGUAGGUCACAAGCGUUGUCCGGAAUUACUGGGUGUAAAGGGAGCGCAGGCGGGAAGACAAGUUGGAAGUGAAAUCCAUGGGCUCAACCCAUGAACUGCUUUCAAAACUGUUUUUCUUGAGUAGUGCAGAGGUAGGCGGAAUUCCCGGUGUAGCGGUGGAAUGCGUAGAUAUCGGGAGGAACACCAGUGGCGAAGGCGGCCUACUGGGCACCAACUGACGCUGAGGCUCGAAAGUGUGGGUAGCAAACAGGAUUAGAUACCCUGGUAGUCCACACCGUAAACGA
This 658-nucleotide ribosomal RNA is filed under the name uncultured bacterium. RNAcentral's name for it is "bacterial SSU rRNA". It matches the Rfam family "Bacterial small subunit ribosomal RNA", at positions 135 to 809 of the family's 1533-position model. The record is from RNAcentral.